UCCCUGGUGGCUCAGAUGGUAAAGCAUCUACCUACAGUGUGGGAGACCCAGGUUUGAUCCCUGGUCAGGAAG
Molecule: transfer RNA, 72 nt
Filed under: Bos taurus (domestic cattle)
Lineage: Eukaryota; Metazoa; Chordata; Mammalia; Artiodactyla; Bovidae
Also listed under: 5 other names
Rfam family: tRNA
About the family: Transfer RNA (tRNA) molecules are approximately 80 nucleotides in length. Their secondary structure includes four short double-helical elements and three loops (D, anti-codon, and T loops). Further hydrogen bonds mediate the characteristic L-shaped molecular structure. tRNAs have two regions of fundamental functional importance: the anti-codon, which is responsible for specific mRNA codon recognition, and the 3' end, to which the tRNAs corresponding amino acid is attached (by aminoacyl-tRNA synthetases). tRNAs cope with the degeneracy of the genetic code in two manners: having more than one tRNA (with a specific anti-codon) for a particular amino acid; and 'wobble' base-pairing, i.e. permitting non-standard base-pairing at the 3rd anti-codon position.
Source: Rfam by way of RNAcentral